Molecule: non-coding RNA, 23 nt
Filed under: Arabidopsis thaliana (thale cress)
Lineage: Eukaryota; Viridiplantae; Streptophyta; Magnoliopsida; Brassicales; Brassicaceae
Source: RNAcentral
GCAUUAGUGCUGGUAUGAUCGCA